UCUCGGCUCGGUGUCGUUCACGCCGCGGGCUGGACGGCUCUGCGGAACCGCCCGUAGUUGCGGUUAUCCGUCAGAUCGAACGGGUUAACCGCGUUCUCUUCCCAGUUCGCGUCGCGGCGGAACCGCCCGUAGUUGUUGUUGUCCGCAAGGUCGAACGGGUUGAACGCCUUCUCUUCCCAGUUGGCGUCGCGGCGGAAUCGACCGAAGUUGUUGUUGUCCGCGAGCGAAAACGGGUUCUUCCAGUCGAAACCCGACACGGGGGCCAUGUCUUCGGCGGCGGCGACGUCGGUCUCUUUCGCGCCGCGGCGGAACCGUCCGUAGUUGUUGUUGUUCUCGAGGUCGAACGGGUUGAACGCCUUCUCUUCCCAGUCCGCGUCGCGGCGGAACCGUCCGAAGUUGUUGUUGUCCGCGAGCGAGAACGGGUUCUUCAGAACGAAACCCGACACGGGGGCCAUGUCUUUGGCGGCGGUUUGCGGCUUCUCGCGGCGGAACCGCCCGACGUUCGCCUUCUGCGUCACCUGCCUCAGCGCCGCCGGGUCGCCUUUAACGAACCCGUCGUGCGAAAACUCGAGGCGCGCGUCGUCGUCGUUGCCGAGCUUGUGGAACCCGUAAUUGUUCAGCUCACGCUUGAAUCCGUUGAUGUUGACGCGCGCGGGGAACACCGGGAGGACGCCGACGAGCUUCUUCUCGAACGCUUUCGCGUCCUUGACGACGAAGGAUUUGCCGUCUUUGUUCCAGGAGACGACGUCGGACGCGGACGGGUCGCUCACGAGCGUGUGAAGCUUCCUGCGACGGCGACGGAAAGAUGUUUCGGAGGGUGAGAAAAAAAAAACACGUGGUCGUCGACGUGCCUGUCGACGUCAACGGGUUGCCUAGGCGCCAGAGACGCCGCGGACGCGCGCGUUCGCGACGGAUAUCGUCGCCGAGCGCGUCGAGUCGCGAGCGGCGCGCGCGAUUCGACGAACGCCGCGUCGCGCGCGACGCGCGCGACGCGCGCGCGAGGCGUCGCGCGCGCCGAAAGUCGCGUCCGACUGCCGACGGCGCCGAGCGACGCGUCUACGUCAUCGGCCCGGUUGCCCAGGUGCCAAAGACGCCGCGGAGGCGCGAGUUCGCGACGGAUAUCGUCGCCGCGCGCGUCCCAUCGCGAGCGACGCGCGCGAUUCGACGAACGCCGCGCCGCGAGCGACGCGAGCGACGCGCGCGCGCGGCGUCGCGCGCGCAGAAAGUCGCGCGCGAUCGCGAAAGACGCGACGUUUCGACGGCACGGGCCGGGCACGUAAGUUAGUGCGGGGAGAAUCGAGGAUCGAGGGGGAGCGCGCACAUUAUGAACGGCGACACCUUGACGCGAUCGAACGCGUAAGGGUUGCACGAAGGGCGGCGAGCGUGAAGGUGCGUGGGGGCCAUCGUUUGUGGAGUGUCGUGUGCGUGCGUGAGGUGGUCGGGCGUGCUGUAGUGCGCGAUGGGUGCGUGUGUUUUCAGGACUUAAACGUCCCGCGAAAAUUGAAACGCCGAGACUUCGCGCCAAGUUUACGAAAGGGCACGGUGCUGAAAGGUGCCCACGAACCGUCGCGAAAAAAUCGUAUGCGCGUCAGUCUGAAAUUAAUACGUGCCUUCGCCGUUCGCGUGCCUCCCACGAAUUCAAGGCGCCGUCCACGGUGGCAAGCACGCCGUGCCGUUACUCUCCCGACGACACUUAUCCGCGCGCGCGUGCCCGCACAGACACGCACACGCACACACUCCGCGAUGGCCGUCUUCCUCGCCGCUCCCGCGUCGCGCGCGUGCGCGACGCGACGAGUCCUCGCGCGAAGCGCGUCCGCGACGGCGACGCGCGCGCGCGCGGCGCCGCGCGUCGCCGCGCGUCGCGAAGUGAGAUCGUCGUCGUCCGCGAGCGCGCGCGGCACCGCAGAUCUUCUCGGGUUCGGGUUCGCGCGCGCGGCGUCCGCCGGACGCGUCGCGCGCUCGUCCGCCGCGGAGACCUCCGGCGACGCGGAGACCUCCGGCGUCGUCCUCCUCGACCCUCCUCCCGCGCCCGCGCCCGUGCCCGCGCCCGCGGCGGCGCCGGCGGCGACGACGACGACGCCGCCCGUCGACGCGUCGCAAACGUCGCUUCGACGCGUCGCGCGACACGUCCACCGCGAGGCGGAGUACGUCUUCGUUCGAUUCUCGCUCCUCGCGACCGGCGCGUUCGUCCUCAUCGGCGUCUGCGCGUCGCUCGCGCUGUCCGCGCUGCUGUUCAGCAUGGGCGUCAAGGAGGUGCUCUACGAAGCCGUGGGCGCGUGGAUGCAAUUCUCGCCGGUGGGGCUCGGUGCGUUCUAUCUCACACUGGUUCCCAUACGACCGCGUCGGCGUGGUGAACGCCGUUCCUUAAGGACUUUUCCCGGCGUCUCUCUCCGCCCAGGGUCCCUCGCUUUCAAUACCCGACCGCGACGCCUUUCAACUAUUACUGACGCCUUUCAACUCCACCCCGACGUCGCGAGAAUAGUCACCGCCGCCGUCGGCGCGCUCGACCGCUUCCUCCUCGGCAUGGUCUGCCUCGUCUUCGGCCUCGGAAGCUUCGAGCUGUUCUUAGCGCGAAGCUCGAGGAAGGAAGAGCAGCAGCUCGCGAAGCGCGUGAACAAGCCGCUGUGGCUGAGAGUGCGGAGCAUAGACGACUUGGAGCACAAGGUUGGCGAGAUCAUCGUCGCGGUGAUGGUCGUCAACCUGCUCGAGAUGUCGCUGCACAUGACGUACUCCAAGCCCGUGGAUUUGGUGUGGGCCGCGCUCGCGGCGUUGGCGUCCGCGGGCGCGCUCGCGCUCCUGCACUGGAGCUCGGAGAAUCACUGCGGGAAGGACGACGACGCGCCCUGCGCGGUGCACUGAGUCGUCCUCUCGCCGCCGUUUGUAGACGCGUGCGCGCGUUCGUUUGUAAUUUCAAUUUUCAAGUCUACCGAAAAAACCGUUUUGCGUUUGCUGCUAUUUUAGGCUACUACUCCUCGUGAGCACCUCACGCGUCCGCGGCGAGGAGGUGCGGUCUGGCGCACUUCAACACGAUGACACGCCCUGCGCGGUGCACUGAGUCGUCCUCUCGCCGCGAGAGCAUCGAAUCGUAUGCGGCGGCGGCGGCUACGCGCUCCUGUUACGAAAGUACUCCUGAAUGUGCUCGCGGACCAGCGCGGCCGCGGCGGCGACUUGCUCGGGGGCGCCCUCGAUGACGCAGACGCCCUGCGAGUCGUUCAACACGCGAAUGGACGCGCCCGUGCGCUCGCGCAACGAGCGGAUGUUGUUACCGCCCUUUCCGAUGAGCCGCGACUCCGCGCCGGCACACGGGAUGGUCUCCCUCGCGACGCCGACGACGGAGCCGGCGGCCGCGCGGUCCGCCCCAGGCGGGGCGCCCAUCACCGCGACCUGCGAGAUGAUCUCGCGAAUGGCAGCGGCGGCGCCCUGCGCGCCGGGUCCGAUGACCUCCGUGACGCCGUGCCCGCGCUUGAGUUGGAUGCACACGCCGAACCUAUCCUGCAAGUCGCGGAUCGUCCCGCCGCCGUGGCCGAUGAUCAUUCCCUCGUGCCCCGCGGUGCCCUCGACGAUGACGACGUCGUUCGCCCCGCCGCCCGCGGCGGCGGCGGAUUGCGCCGCCGCCGCCGCGGGUUCCGCGCCCGCCGGCGCGCCGCGCGCCGGCUGCUUCGCCGGGCGCUCGUCUUCACCUGGUCCCGCGUUCCCGCGCUCUCCCUCUUCCGCGUACGCCGUGUACUUCGCCGCGCUGCCGCGGCACCGAUCCGCGGGGUACUUGGCCGCGUUCUUCGCCAUCUUCGCGCGCGUCGCCGCCGCGAGGUCGACGCCGCACCGAUCCGCGAGGCGCACCAAGUACAGCUGCACGUCCGCGAGCUCGUCCUCGAGCCGCGCUCUGUCCUCGCGCGACCAGCUCGGCAGCCCCGUCGCGCAGUCGUCGUCGCCGCGCCACUGGAACAGCUCCGACACCUCGCCGACCUCGCCGACCAUGGCGAGGAGGACGUUGCGAGGCGAGUGGAACUGAUCCCAGUCGCGCGCGCGCGCGAACGACGCCUGUUCGCGCCUCAGAUCCUCCAGCGUGACGCGCGCGUCGAAGCCGCCGAACGCGGGAGGCGACGGUCGCGCGGCGGCGUCGGCGUCGGCGUCGGCGUCGAACCGCGCGCUGAGCGUCGCGUCGCUUCGGGAUUCGGAGAGCGUCGUCGUCUUGGAACGCAGUUCGAUCGGUUUGUUUCGGCUCUUGUUCACGCGGAUCGGCGGAGGGACGUGCGGCGCGGGAUCGUCGACGUUCCUCGGCGCGUCCGCGUGGCCGUUGCUCCUGACGUCGAAUAUCAUCUUCAUGUGUUUCACGCCGGCGGCGAGGAGGAUGUCGGGGCAUUCCUUCGCGAGAGCGUCCACUUUGCUUCCGGCGCCGUACCAGUCGUGGAGGGUAAGCUUCGACUCGGGGUGCGUUCGGUACAACUCGGAGAUCACGAGGCUCGCGAGCGUGCCGCACGAGCCGGUCAUGUCCGCGAUGGCGUUCGCGUAAUACCGCGGAUCAAUAUAUCGCGGAGGAAUAUUCUCGUACCCUUUAGCCAUCGUGGCUCACCUCUCUCGCGCGCGGGAGUGUUCGCCCGUGCCUCAGAUCUGGAAAAGCGGGUGCCAAAAAAUACUGUAUUUUUAGUAACAGGCUCGCGCCGCGCGUGCGCCACCGUCCUCCUAUCGCAUCGUCCAUCCAC
This 4700-nucleotide long non-coding RNA is filed under the name Micromonas pusilla. RNAcentral describes it as "long non-coding RNA (MPUS_LNC000119)". Lineage: Eukaryota; Viridiplantae; Chlorophyta; Mamiellophyceae; Mamiellales; Mamiellaceae. The record is from RNAcentral.